This is a long non-coding RNA of Lepidothrix coronata (blue-crowned manakin), 470 nucleotides long. RefSeq lists it as uncharacterized. The record is from RefSeq and is a predicted model, not a curated record. NCBI's taxonomy places the organism in Eukaryota, Metazoa, Chordata, Aves, Passeriformes, Pipridae. The transcript is spliced from 4 exons.
AGAACGCAGAACUCACAGUCGCUCCAGAGAGGGGGGGAGGAAAAAAAAGAACCCUUUCAUCACGUCGGGGUUUUCUUCGCUGUUUUGUUUCACUUAAGACAUCACUCGGGAGCAAAUGGGACAUGAUGUACGUCUGCAUUCCUCGGCCCGAGGAAUUCUCGGCGUUCGGGUUUCGUUGCCUUUAAGUGACAGGAAGCAGCACUUCACCCUGAUUUUUGCAGCAUUGUCUGAGAAUUAACCACAACAUAAUGCAGGUACAGAAAAUUCGGAUGACGCAAAAGGGAGGGUGUGUUUGUCUUGGAAAGAGCUGAGCAUUAUACCUCUGGGACUGCUGGAAAUGCUCACCCUGAUAAACCUUCCCCAUAAAAGAAACCUCCCAGGAGCUCUCAGGUGGGCACCAGUGGGAUUUUUGAGACACCUGCUGGCAGAUGGUCCCUUUUCCUUGGAGGUCAGCUGGGCACGGGCUCUGC